GCCUCCCGCCGCAGGCCCAUCCACAAACGCUCUGAAAAGCUCCGCGCUCCUUCUGAACUAGAAACUUUAAACGAGUAAAAACUUUUGGCAACGGAUCUCUUGGCUCUGGCAUCGAUGAAGAACGCAGCGAAAUGCGAUACGUAGUGUGAAUUGCAGAAUUCAGUGAACCAUCGAAUCUUUGAACGCACCUUGCGGCCGCCGGUAAUCCGGCGGCCAUGCCCGUCCGAGCGUCGUUUCGACCCUCGGUGCCCCUCCCUCUUGCAGGGCGGCGGCCCCGGCCUUGGGCCAGCGCGUGCCGCUCUCGAGCGCCGCGCGGUCCGCAGAACAGCGGCGGCAGCACCGGCGACGUCCCCUGCGCAGUAGCAUACACUCGCAUUGGUCUCCCGGCGCGGCCCGCCUCGAACCCCAAACUUCUUUAGGUCGACCUCGGAUCGGGUAGGGAUACCCGCUAAACUUAAGCAUAUCAGUCAGCGGAGGA
RNAcentral lists this ribosomal RNA (478 nucleotides) under Microthecium fayodii. RNAcentral's name for it is "eukaryotic LSU rRNA". The stretch from base 80 to 233 matches the Rfam family "5.8S ribosomal RNA". Lineage: Eukaryota; Fungi; Ascomycota; Sordariomycetes; Coronophorales; Ceratostomataceae. The record is from RNAcentral.